This 264-nucleotide long non-coding RNA is filed under the name Capsicum annuum. RNAcentral's name for it is "long non-coding RNA (CANN_LNC008133)". The record is from RNAcentral. Lineage: Eukaryota; Viridiplantae; Streptophyta; Magnoliopsida; Solanales; Solanaceae.
AAGUAAUACUAAAACUGCAUGAUAUUCUCAUGUUACCACAAAUACCAAAAAAAAGAGCAAUUUGCAAACUAUUCCUAAGAAUGUCAUGCCUAACCAUGUGACCUAGCCAAGAAACUGAAUGAGAACAGAGAAUAAGCAUAAACACAAAUCUUGUCCAAUAGUAAGAUAUAGUCGCAACAAUAACCACCCAUGUAUAACAUCAACUGAACAAGGUUAAGACGCACAGUCGGAAUUAUGUAAACUAGAAAAUUAAGUAACCGGAAC